AACGAACGCUGGCGGCAUGCCUAACACAUGCCAGUCGAACGAGACCUUCUGGUCUAGUUGCGCACGGGUGCGUAACGCGGGGGAACCUGCCCUUAGGUUCGGAAUCACUCCCCGAAAGGGGUGCUAAUACCGGAUACUGUCUUCGGCCCAAAGAUUUAUCGCCUUUGGAUGGGCCCGCGUUUGAUUAGUUAGUUGGUAGGGUAAAAGCCUACCAAGGCGACGAUCCAUAGCUGGUCUGCGAGGAUGAUAAGCCACACUGGGACUGAGACACGGCCCCGACUACUACGGGAGGCAGCAGGGGGGAAUAUUGGACAAUGGGCGAAAGCCUGAUCCAGCCAUGCCGCGUGAGUGAUGAAGGCCUUAGGGUUGUAAAGCUCUUUUACCCGGGAUGAUAAUGACAGUACCGGGAGAAUAAGCGCCGGCUAACUCCGUG
This 433-nucleotide ribosomal RNA is filed under the name uncultured bacterium. RNAcentral describes it as "partial 16S ribosomal RNA". It matches the Rfam family "Bacterial small subunit ribosomal RNA", at positions 29 to 507 of the family's 1533-position model. The record is from RNAcentral.